GGCGUCUUACCCAAGUGGUAAGGGAACGGUCUGCAAAACCGUGAUUGAGCAGUUCGAUUCUGCUAGACGCCU
Molecule: transfer RNA, 72 nt
Filed under: Treponema pectinovorum
Lineage: Bacteria; Pseudomonadati; Spirochaetota; Spirochaetia; Treponematales; Treponemataceae
Also listed under: 2 other names
Description: tRNA-Cys
Rfam family: tRNA
About the family: Transfer RNA (tRNA) molecules are approximately 80 nucleotides in length.
Source: RNAcentral